Molecule: long non-coding RNA, 716 nt
Organism: Gopherus evgoodei (Goodes thornscrub tortoise)
Lineage: Eukaryota; Metazoa; Chordata; Testudines; Testudinidae
Exons: 3
Source: RefSeq, a predicted model, not a curated record
GGGCUUCCUCUUUCUGUGAACAAUACAGAAAGGGACCACUAAAAAAAGGUAAUGCAACCACAGAUUACUCAGUGGUUCUUAAGGGUGAUGUGGGGUCUCCACCCCACCCUGCAGGAACACUUCCUCAACUUGUCAGGAGGUGGGAGGGACAGUGAAAGAACAUGGAUGACCUCAUUAAUGAGCAAAAUUAUGAUUCACCUACAAAGGCUUCUUCAUACAGAUUUUAAUCCAAUGAUCAGGCCCUAAAUGUUUCUCGCUACAUUUACUGUCAUUUACUGCCCAUCAGCCUCAUCUGUUUUGCCACAGUGACGUUUCAUUUCUGUGGUCUUUUGCUACUUGAUUCAAUGUAUAUUUCCCUUCUCAAACAUUUUUCAGCAUUGAUGGUCCUAUGAGUCCACUCAUAUUUCUUCAGCAGGCGUGUUAAAGGCUAUUGUGCACACAUUCGCUGGAUCAGAGUAAAUGCAAGCACACACAUUUUCAGACUACCGCCAUCCAUGUGGUUGAAUUUAAUGCAGGCACGAACCCCAACUGUUCAAGGGAUGGACCCCGACUGUCCCACAGAACGAAUCCUGACUGUGAUGAGGAUGGUUCUGGGAUCCUGGACAGAGCCAAUGAAGACUGAAGACUCUGGACCACAGGAACACUGAAACACAUGAACAGGACAUGAUGAUCACCAGGGUUACAAGCAGUGAACCUGGACCACCUGACCAGAGGAC